AUCGAUUACUCUAUCGAUCUUUCGGUUCCAACAGUCUAACUCGAGUUGAGCCUGAAAUAGAAGACCACAUUGGCAUUGAUUGCUACGUAGCGCUUCCGUACAUUCCGCAGCUGAGUGAAUCAAUCGCCAAAUGCCUGAAAAAAAGACUAUCCUCGUAUCAAAAUCGCCAAUCAGAACGCUAAGACUGCCAAGACUGUUUACACUAAAGUUAAAGAUCCAGUCGAAUCAAUGCUACAACACAAUGUGAUCUAUAACAUCCCCUGCCAGAACUGUGAUAGAUGUUAUAUAGGCAUGACGUCCAAUAAACUGAAAACCAGACUCAGUGGACACAAGUCGAAUAUAAACAAGCUCAACAGACUAUUGGAACAAGGAUACACAAACAAUGAUGAAGCAGUGGUUAAUAUUAGUAACAAAACAGCAUUGGUAGAUCACUGUAUAAAAUACAAACACCAAUUUGGAUUGGAUCAAACCAAGAUCAUCGAUCGUUCGCUUGCAGCAUCUCGUCUUCCAAUGCUAGAAUGCCUCCACAUCCAGAACACACCAUCAACAGUCAACUACAGGACCGACACAGAAGGAAUAAGUGCAAUAUACACCGGUUUACUCCAAACGAUAGCAACAAAAUCCAGAAGCAGAAUCAAAACAAACACCCCACCACCCUCAACGUCAACCCCUCCAAUAGCCCGGAUCAACCAACAACAAUCCACUACAAGCCCACAAUACCAGAGCCAACCAAUACCACCCAUGAAUAAUGAGCAAAACAGAAAUUCUCCCUCUCACCAUACACAGUAACAAUCUCUAUUAAUUAUACACAUACAUUAUUGUUCUCCAUUUAGUUUAGAUCUCUCUGUAUAUUAGUGUCCAUUUUUGUGUCAUAGUAGCUAGUCAGGUUUUUAGUUUUCGUAUGUUUCGUACGACUAUCCACCAACGCAACCGCGAAACCAAACCAAAUGCGGUACACCAGAUAGAGGUAGGCAAAAGCUUUGCACAACUAACUGUUAUACAUUUUAAAACUAGGUGUCCAGGAAAAGAACUUUAUUAAAACUGACAAUUCAGCGCAAAGCUUUUAGCAGCAUACGAGGGACGGUGCAAGUUUAUAUCCCCUGAGGAAGGCCGAGUCCAAUGGCCGAAACGUCGGAAUUAAACAAGUAGCACUUGUCUUGAUUUUACGCUAGACUGAAAAGCCACCCGAAAACAGUUCAUUCUACAGUCGAACCUAAUUCAAAGA
Long non-coding RNA from Aedes albopictus (Asian tiger mosquito), 1225 nucleotides. RefSeq lists it as uncharacterized. NCBI's taxonomy places the organism in Eukaryota, Metazoa, Arthropoda, Insecta, Diptera, Culicidae. The transcript is spliced from 2 exons. The record is from RefSeq and is a predicted model, not a curated record.